RNAcentral lists this long non-coding RNA (7972 nucleotides) under Salvia miltiorrhiza (redroot sage). RNAcentral's name for it is "long non-coding RNA (SMIL_LNC006084)". Lineage: Eukaryota; Viridiplantae; Streptophyta; Magnoliopsida; Lamiales; Lamiaceae. The record is from RNAcentral.
AACACCGGGGAGUUUUUUGAAACUUAUUGAACUUCGAAUUGAAGACACCGAUUUGGUGCGAUGGAGACCUCAACGUGGAAGCUUCCCGGAGCUUCGUAGACUAAGCAUGCGGCAUUGCUACAAAUUACAACAGCUCGAUUGGCCGUAUGACCACUCUUGGAUAGAGAUCAUUGAUUUACGCGAGUGCAAUCCUUUAGCUGUCGCUUGUGCCAAGGAAUUAAAAGACAAGUUUUCCUUUCAACUUUCGUCAAAUCUUCUUUUUGAGGUCAAGUGGAUCUGCAACUUGCCAACAGGUUAGUCUUACUACUUUGCAAUAUCAAGUCUUAAUGUUUCUGUUAUAGUCACAGUGUUUGAGAUUGUCCAUCUAUCGAUUUUCAGGCAAAUGAAAGAGACGAUCGAGAGUUGCUUCCCCUGCCGCAGGUGAGUUUCUGCUGUCUGUAGAUUACUAGUAACUUGUUUAACAAACGUCGAGGCCUUUGUAUUACGAGCUGCUGUUUUUGAAGAUCUCUUCGCAAGAUUCUUAAGGAGUUCACUUGUUCAAGGCGCCAUAAGGUAACUUCUUUAUAAUGCAUAACCUAUAAAUGAAUCGAUUAACUUGUAAGUAUUGGGCUCGUUAGCUUGCAAACACGUUCGUGUACAAUUUUCAAUAUCAAAAACCAGAUUUUGAGUUGGGCUGAAUUCCCCAUGGCAUAAUUUUCUUCUAUUCCGACUUGGGCCCAAUAAUUAUAUAAUACACAAAAAAUAACCUUAAAAUAAAAUAUGUACGUAAUAGGAGUAAAACUAACAGAAAACAUUAUAUGUGAUGCUGAGGCACUUAAGAAAAAUAAAGUGUGUGCAUUUUCCACAUCAAAUACAUAUCUUAAGUUUGUGAAAUGCUAUUGUGUUUUAAGACUGAGGAAAAUAAUUCAAUUAUACUUCCUCCGUCCUCAAAUUAUAACUUCAUAGAAGGAAGGAACACGAGUUUUAAGACGAAAAAGUUAAAAGAUGAAAAGUAAGGAUAAAUGGGGUAUUGAGAGUGGCGAAAAGAUGAAAAAUAAGGGUAAAUGAGGAAUUAAUUGUGGUGGAGUAGUGCCCAAAUAUAGAAAGAUUUUUUUUUUGAACGGACCGAAAAUAAAAGUUAGAAAGUUAUUUGCGGACGGAGGAGUAUGUAUGUUUAGAAUAUCUAGCAAAACCAAUAAAAGAUCACCAUGAACUAUAAUCUUUUUAUCCCUCAAUCCAUCUCACAUUUGAAUUUUCCUAAAAAAGGUAUAUAAAUUCAUUAGAAUUUAUAUAUACACUAAUAUAAAAAAAAUGUGUUGGGCACAAACUAUAGAUUGUCUAUUAUAUUCAUAUUACAUACUCCCUUCGUCCCCAAAUAACUUCUUAGUAGGGGACGACACGAGUUUUAAAGAAAAAUUUUAAGUGUAUUGAUAAAAAAAAAGUUUUAUAAUUAAUAUUGAAAGUGGUGAAAAUGUGUUAUAAUUAAUAUUGAGAAUGAUGGAAGGUUGAAAAGUAAUAAUAAAUAAAGUAUAUUAGUGGUGGGGUAAUGUCCCAAAAUGAAUAUGAAGGUAUUUGGAGAACUGAAGGAGUAUUUAAUUUUAAGAGUAAUUAUAUAAAGUAUAUAUUAUAUAUCUAGAAGAAUAUAUUAAUUCAUUAGACAUUAAAGUACUACAAAAAUAUGUCAAUUAAUUAUAUUACCUUAUCAUAAAUCUAUUUGAUGAAUCUGAAAAUCUUUUUAGAAUCCUGAAAAAAUAUCCUAUGAAAUCUAACUAUUAACUAAAUAAAUGAAAAUUCAAUAUUAUAUAAAUAAAUAGGUUACAUAUAAAGUGUACUCCAUCCGUCCCACGAAUCUUGAUACGCUUGGUUUCAGCACGGGAAUUAAGGAGUUGUAGAUUAGUAUUUUAAGUGUGUAGUUAAUGAAGUAUAAAAGUGAUAAAGUAGGAGAGAAAAUGUAAUAUAAGUGAUAAAGUUAAUCGAUAGCGUGUUCGUGCUCGUAAAAUGAGUUUCUCUCUUUCACUCUGCAGAAGCCAUUGUGUAGAUGUUGCUAACUCAUAUAUAUAAAGUGCUCUUGAUUUUAGAUCGAGUUGUAGAAAUCAAGAUUUGAUGUUAAUUUCAUUGGACUUAAAUAUUUGUUUUUUUUAACUAGUGGUAAUAAUAUGUGUUCUAUUUUAAGUCACAGGCUAUUCCCUCAAAGUUGAGAGUUUGCCUUAUUUUUAUCAACCAGUUUGAUCGAUUUUGAAUUAUUUAGAUUGUCACAAGGAUUUUGCAUAGGUCUGCCUAAUAUCUUUGCAAUAUCACAUUUUUUAAUGUUCUUAUUAUAUUCACAGUGUUUGAGAUUGUCCAUCUACCGAUUUUCAGGCAAAUGAGAUAGCCGAUCAAAGGGGUCAGGCGUUGCGUUAUCCCAUAAUUUCGAUUGUUGUAUUACCACAUUGUCGUAUGAAUUUAAGGAUUGUGAAACCUGAGUGCUGAAUUUUGUUUGUAACCAAAAUUGUUGUAAGUUGGAUUUGUGUGAAAACAUGAGUCCCUUAUUCAGUUCAAGGAUUGUAAUAUUUGUGAGUUCUGCAUAGUUUUAACUUUGUUUUCAUAGUGUGUAUGUGUGGUUAAAGAUGUUGUUGAUUUAGCUAUGAAGAAGAAUCUGAUAUUCUGAUUAAGAGCUCUUGUUGUCUAAGAAGAAAAGAAUUGAUGAAUUAUCAUUCAUAAAAUUGGGCUUCUUCAUAUAAUAAACAAAAUUUCGGCCCCAUACAAAAUCAAGGCCCAACCUCCAUCAUUUAUCUUUUAAAUUUUGCCUCAGUGUCAAAUUAAAAGGCAUCAAAUUCAACUCAAUUUCUUUAGAAGACAUUCAAAUUAAAUCCAUGGCACUUUAGAUAUUCCACCGGUUAUCUUGUUAUAUUUAUGGUUGAAGUCACUAUGUGGAAAAUAGGACCUAAUGGUAAAAAACAUGAAUCAAACUUUCAAUAUUUUCAGAAAGAGGACUAUAUAUUACGAAAUUUGAAAAUAAGGACUAUAUUCAACAAAGUAAUGAAUCAAUCGUAGAUCUUGAUAAUCUAAGAGCUGAAAAUGGUUCUUAUUUUAUAUUCUAAGAAGUGUUUUUAUUUUAGCUCAUCCCAUCCAACUAAUAUCUAAAAAAUUGUGGUAAGAUAUAAACAGUAGAAUGAAUCAAUUAAAUAGACCAAAUCGUUAAUUGAAUAAUUAAAUAUAAUAUAUAUUAUAUUUAUAUUUUUUAUUUUAUCAAAUAAAAUUAUAUUAAUUAUGCGUACAAAGUGACAUUUAACAUAGUAUGAAAUUUUCUAACUGAGAUAAACGUGUUAAAAGAGUGGAAAAAGUGAGAAAAUAUAUGUAUUUCAUCAUUUUUUUAUUAAAGAAAAUGCAUCCCAAGACUUUAUCAAAUUGGUUCAAAACGAGAUAGAUAUAUAUAAUAUUGAGUCACAAAAGAUUAUACUGAACAUUGUCUGAAUCGCCAUCACAUGCUUUGCAUCGAGAUCAGGUAUUGAGAGCUGUUGGCUUUUGGUCCCAUUUGCCCAUUCCAACAUUAAUUUUCUCAUAUCCCCAUGCAAACUAUUAGUUUAUUACACCCUGAUUAUUUUCCUAUUCAUCUUGAAUAUAAGGAUUAGAAAUUUCACAUUCUUGAACUUUUUGCCUUACUCAACCUAUUUGGAGGAUUGGAAGUCUUCGCUUAAAUCAUGAUAUAAUUAACCUAAAGUUAGGAUGUUAUAUUUAUAAAAGACUUAAUAUAUUAAAAUACUCACUUCCAUAAUAUGUCUAUGUAAGGGGGUGGGUAUUUUUCAUAGACAUAUUAUGGGGGUGGGUACUUUUAAUUCCACCCCUUUAUAAAAUUGGUUUUGGCCUGAAAUUCAAUAAUUAUGGACAAAAAUACAUUGGAAAAAUAUAAUUUUGUUAUAAACUAGAGAUAAACAAGAGAAUAUAGAAGAUAAUACGAAUUCAGUGUAUUCAAUAUGAGGGCCAGAAGUUAGGGUUUUAGGGAGAUUUCUUGGUCAACACACAUAACAUAUAUCUAGAUGAUAUAUUUACAACAAAUUUUAUCUUUUAACUGUUGGACUUUUAUGUUGUACCCAAAUGCAAUCUUAUUGAUUGAAAANAACUUUCGUUUAUUUUAUCAUCAGUUCUAAUAUAUUUGAUCAUCUGCUGCUAAUAUUAAGGCCACAAUCGAAAUCUCUUUAACUUGAGCUUCAAAAUCCUCAAACCAAUUUUGCAGUCCGAUACAUAAAACUCUACCUCGAAUAGUUGACGAAACUCUAAUUCUGCAACGUCAAAUUGAUGGCGUAAUAAAAAGUUAUUUAGGAGGUUUUGUAGUUCAAGUCAAAGAUAUUUUGAUUGUGGUCUCAAUUUCAGUGAUCGAUAAUCAAAUAAGUCAAAAUUGAUGCAACAACAAUUAAAAGUGUGGCAGCCCGAUUUUGCUAAGGAUAGCUAAACCGAGAAAUCAACGAUUAAGGAUGAUCGGAUUAAAGAAGUGGUGAAAAAAAAGGCAUCGAUCAUAAACACUUAAAUCUCAUUUUAAAUAAUAACCAAAUUAAAUAUGCAAGAUGUUGGAGUUAAUUUUUAACUCCAUAAAACUUUCCUAAAGUUAUAAAAUUUAAUUGUAUUGUUUUGCCUUCUUCACGUGUUAUGUUGUGUUUACGAUAACAUCUUUUUACAUCACUUGUUGGUUUUUGUAAGGUUUCGGAGUAUUAUUCUUGAACUGAGUUUUGUUCUUUAGUGAGAGUGUCAUGUGUUUAAUAUCUAUGUCAUUGCAAAGGUAUUGAACGUGAAUUGUUCAUUCUCUAAUUAGUUUUCUUGACAUAUGGUGUCUUCUUCAUUUAUUUUUGUUCCGCUACUUUAUACUCCGCGUGCUGUUCCAAUAUUCCGCACAACAUUUUGAUCCAGACGAAGCAACACUUUCACAAGAAAUGAUAGCUAAUAAAAGCCGACAAGGUGCAUAGAUAAUUUAUAUAGGAAUUCUCUAAAAAAAAUUAUUUUAUUAAAGAGGUUUUACUAUAAAGUUUAGUAAUUUAUUUGAGUAUCAUUUUAAAGAGGUUUUACUCUCCAUCUUAAAAACAUAAAAUUUGUCCACUUUUUACAAUUUCGGACUGCAUUACUCUUAAUUUGGAUGGACUGGAUCGGAUUGGGCGUGUUGAUUCAGUGUUACUUUUUGGAUUGUACUAAUGUUAGUAAUUUGUUUUGUAAAUUAUAAUAAUUUAGAAUUAGAAUACAAAUGAUUUAUAAUUUAAUUUUAUUAGAAGUUUAAUUUGCCUUAAAUCCCUGAAAUUAAAAUUAAUUAUGUAAAAUAAACUUAACAAAUAAACAUCCCGAGGCAUUCAACGAUUAGUGAUGUGCACAUGGCGUCAACAAUGUCGAGGCAUUUGUGUGAAUCAAUGCAAUUUAAAAAUAAUAAUCCUUUAACAAUGGUGGAGACCCUCAAUCAACCACUCACUUUAACAAUUCUCUUCCACCUUCAAAAUCCUAAUCCUUCCCACCACCUACCGCCGUUGCCGUUGAUAUCUCAUAUUUCAAUCAAGUUAUGGCGGCUUUUGGUGCCGCAGCUUCUCUCAAGAAUACGAUUCUGCGUAUUCUACAAUCGUCUCGCAUUUCUCUCGUUUCCCACUCUCCACAAAUCUUGCAACCUGCCUACGACGAGAUGGAUCGAUUGCAGAAAGUUCUGCUCAAAUUGGACGAGACCAGCUGCAGCAAGAUCAGGACGAAGGUGAAUGCUUUGGAUGAACUCAUAAAAGAGGCAGUUUGGGAAUUCGAAGAUUUACUCGAAUCCCAUAUCUUACCUCAGAUUCUUCCACAACUCGAAAGCGAGAGAGACAACUUGUCUUUCUCUGUAGAUCUGCAGAGUCUGCAACACCAUGUUGAUUGCUUCGUCGAGAUGGUGAAGAUGAUGGAGGAAGAGUACACAAUGAAAUGGAGAAUAUGGCUGAAGAAGAAGGCGACCUAUUUCCUCAAGAAUUGAUUCUGGUGGAAUGAUCAAUCAAGAUGGUUGGAAUCUAUGAUUAAAAAGCCAGAGAAUCUUCUUAAGAAAACUAUUCGUUUUGGGAUGGCGGGUUGGAAAGACAACUCUUGCUAACAUAUAUUUGAAGAUCCAACAAUUCGGAGCCAUUUUGAGUUUCGAGCAUGGGUCAAAGUGGGCAGAAAAUGCGAACCCAAUGAACUAUUACGCUGCGUUCUAGCUCAAGUGGAUCCCAACACUUACCGAAUGCUUGCCCAAGGAGAUGAUGAUGAUGAGGAAUUAGUUGGAUUAUUGAAAGAAAAAUUGCAGGAUAAGAAAUGCCUCGUCAUUUUGGAUGAUGUUUGGGGGGUACCAGCAGCAAAUCGCUUGACAAAUUGCUUGCGAGAAAAGAAUACUCUUGGAGGGAUUCAGCUCUUACUUACAAGUAGACAAUGUAUAAAAUACAAGCAGCAUGGGGGCAUGAGAUUGAGCUUGUUGAAUGAAGAAGAUAGUAAGAAACUACUUGGUGAGAAGGUGUUUGGUGAGAAGGUGUUUAGUGAAGACGGUUUCCCUCGUCAACUUGAGGAACUGGGAGAGAAGAUUGCCAAGAAAUGUGAAGGUCUUCCUCUUAUGAUAGUCACAGUUGCAGAGCUCCUAUCAAAAGCCGACAAGACCCCAGAAUACUGGACUGAGGUAGCCUACAAACAACACAACUCACUUUUCGAGGAUGCAUAUAAUCAAAUAUCAGAGGUACUUUUCCCAAGUUAUGACUACUUACCCCAACAUUUAAAAAUGUUCUUCCUCUAUAUGGGAGCUUUCCCUCCUUAUGAUGAUCAGAGACCAUUCAAUAUUAAUUAUCUUUUGAGUGUUGAGGGAUUUCUUGAACUGAAUGAUGAAAAAAGUUUUGAAGGUUUCUGGGAAAAGCUUUCUCAGGAGUAUUAUCUUGUUCUCGACACAGAAAAUUCUUGGUAUUCGGGUAGAGUAUCGCGUGCAUUCUUGUUGGCAGCACUUAUGUAAGGUAGAAGCUAGUAGGAUCAAGUUUCUACAUGUCUUACGAGGUUGUGAUGAUGUUAUAAAAGACAGCGCCGCUUGUGUGCCCAUUAACAUUAUUCGGCUUCAAACAAGUGUAUGAUUUGAUAAAAAGUGAUUGUGCAUCCACUGCCCGUUCUCUCCUUUGUUAUGGUCCUUAUCACCCAUAUCCAAUCCAAUACAUGCCAUGGGUUUCAAGUUGCUCAGGGUACUAUAUGCUCUUGGAGUUCGAUUUUACCAUAUCCCAAUUGAAAUUUUGAAACUUGUUUGUUUGCGGUACCUUUCCCUAAGUGCAACGGGGAGCUCCCUCCUUCCAUAUCCAACCUUUUUCACCUUCAAUUCUUGAUUAUCAUCCACAUAUUAUUAAAAGCGUGGAGUUCGUCUUAUAUGCCUGUGCAAAUUUGGGACAUGCAAGAACUAGAGAUUAGAUGGAAGGACCUACCAACCCCUAAUACUGAGAUGCUACCUUGAACAAACUCACCACUUUAUGUGUGAGUGCAAAAGUUGUACAAGGAAGUUCUCAAAAGAAUUCCUAAUUUAAAGGAUUAAUUAGUGGAGUUGAAGCCUUAUGAUGAUGAUGAUGAUGAUGAAAGAAACCCAUCGAGUUGCUUGGGUUAUAUCUCCCAACUCCAGAAUUUGAGACUUAAUAUUGGGUUAAAUCCCGGAUAAAGUAUGAGUGUAAUACGAUUCCUCUUUCAAUGUUUCCAUCAAUCUCAAGGUGUUAACGUUGUCUGGUUUAGGGGGGUAUCCUUGGAAUUACAUGAAUGAAUUGGUUCGGCUCCAAAUCUCGAGAUUCUCAUUAUAUUAUGCAUUUCGAGGCCCAAAGUGGGACAUAACACCGGGGAGUUUUUUGAAACUUCUCGAACUUCAAAUUGAAGACACCGAUUUGGUGCGAUGGAGACCUCAACGUGGAAGCUUCCCGAUGCUUCGUAGACUAAGCAUGAGGCAUUGCUACAAAUUACAACAGCUCGAUUGGAUGUAUGAUCACUGGAUCACAAUUGUAUUAGUCGAGUGCAAUCCUUUAGCUGUCGCUUGUGC